This is a non-coding RNA of Monodelphis domestica (gray short-tailed opossum), 4544 nucleotides long. The record is from RefSeq and is a predicted model, not a curated record. NCBI's taxonomy places the organism in Eukaryota, Metazoa, Chordata, Mammalia, Didelphimorphia, Didelphidae.
UUGACACUCAAGAUGGAUUAGCAGCCCCUCCCCCCAAAGGCUUGGUAAGCCCUCACACAAGAGGUGGUAGGCCUCCCAGCAUGCCCCAUACAUCCCAAUGUAUGCACAUAUAUAGAAUAUAAAUGUAUAGCCAUAUAGAGAAGCAUGAUAUAAACAGGUAUGCAUACAUAUGCAUAUAAUGCACACAGCAAAUUGAAUAUGUACACAUACAUGUAUGCAUAUGUGUAGCUGUACCUACAUAUAAAUAAUUUUAGAUUUAGAGCUGGAAGGGAUCUUUGAGACCCACUCACUCUUUUUUUUACACACUAGAAAACUGAGGCUCGAGUGAUUUGUGCAGGUUCCCACAGCUAGCAAGUGUGUGAGACAGGAUAUGUAUUCAGGUCUUUCAGAUUUUAAUCUACUUCCUGCCCUUAAUCCACUAAACCAUCCAGUUGCCUCAGUGAUAUCCAUACCCAGAUGAAUGCAUAGAAAGAGAAAGUUAUUCUCUGAGGUUCUUAAGUCAAAUGGCAACUCCAUUAGGGGACUGCUGAAAUAACUUAGUGGUCGGCUGUUAAUAAUUUCACCUUUAAACAUGAACCUCAAAAACCAGGAUCCAGAUACUCAUUCAUACUCUGGUUUUUGUUUGCCCUGUAGUUUUGAAGCUGAGGCAUAAUGGUCUCUGGGGAGAGGCUAGAUCCAAUUAAUAUUCAGCUUGAGGUCUUUUAGAAAGAUGUAAGUAAUUCUGUACCUUUGAGAGGGUCUAAGGAAACAUACACCUGAGACUUAAAUGACUCCUCAUUCACUGUGAGGUUGAACUUCAAUCCACCUGGGAGCCAGAGCAGAAGAAAGGACUCCAAUAUCAACAUUUUGAUAUUUCCUGGAAUAUUACCGGAGAUUGGUGAAGACCUUCUGGAAUGUGAAUGAACUUAUACAUUUGUAGACAUUUCCACCUACUCAGAGAAACAGGACUAUCAUUAUAUAAAACAGACAUUCCUUUUAAAAAGACUUUUUUCUUUGCAUAAAAUGUUAUUUUAUAUAAUGCUUUUAAAAAUCAAAACAAAUAUAGUCUAGUAUUCAUAAGCAACUCCCCUGAAAGGAGCAUUAGAAUCUACCUGAUGCCCAAGGGAUCUGGGGCAGAAAGCUAUAAUUUAUCAGAGCACAGGAACUAGGGCUUUGCCCCAGGGCACUGACAUUUAGAAGGUGCUGACAGCUCUUAAAUGCCUUCAGCAGAGAAGCAAUAACUAAUUAACUUUUUAAAAUUUUGUAUACAUUUAUAUAGGUAUAGAUUAUGAGUGUGUCAUCUCCCCUAUAAGAUAAACUCUUUGAGGGGAGGAACCAUUUAAUUUUGGUUUUUUAUCCAUGAACCCUGGCAUCAUGUCCAGCAUGUAAUGUUGAGAAAGAAAUAUUUGGUAAAAAAAAAAAUGGAAUAGCUAAAUGGUGAUGCUUCCUGUUCCAAUGGCCACACCAGAGGUUGGCUUUUGCCUAUCCCUUUCCUGUUCUCUCCCUACCCCCUGCCUAACUCCAAGGAUCAAAGAAGACAUUUUCCUGAGAGGAGAUUAACUUGUUUAAAUGCACUGAGUGAGGGACUUAGAAGAAUUGUACAGCAAAAAAUAAGGGAUAACUAAGACUAUUGAGUAGAAGGCAAGAGGCAGAUUUGGGUUCCAAAUAAAGAAAUUAAUGUUAUUCAAAAACAGAAAAGGAUUUACAACUAACUGCUAGGGGCCUUUAAAUUAAAAUGAAUCUGAAUGACCAUUUAUUGGGAGGUUUAUAGAAGGGUCAAAAAGAUCAUAGAUUGAGAAUUAGGAGAGAACUGGGAGUUUUUCUCUUGGCAGCUAGGUGGUACAGUGGAUAGAGCACUGGAUGUGAAAUCAGGAAGACUGAUCUUAGAUAUCUACUAGCUAUGUGACCUGGGUUAAGUCACUUAUCCAUGUUGGCCUCAGUUUCCUCAUCCAUAAAAUGAGUUGGAAAAAGAAAUGGUGAACCAUCCCAGUCUCUUUGCCAAGAAAAUCCCAAAUGGGGUCACAAAGAGUUGGAAAUGAAUGACUGAAGACAACACAAUGACAAAUUGGAAUCUAGCCCAGUCAAUUCAUUUUAUAAAUGAGGAAAAUAGGAGUAACAAUGUAAAAGGACUUGCCUAAAGUCACACAGAGAAGAGAAGACAAUAGUGGCAUUGGAACUCAAGUCCUCUGACUACAAAUCCUGUAUUCUUUCCCUUACAUUGCUGUUCAGGUAUAAAUUGAAUUAGAUGACUUAGGGUGCUUAUCACAAUGCCUAAUGAAUGCCUGUUGACUUAAAAGGACUCUUCCACAUCUGGAUUUCUAUGAUUCUGCCCCAAGGUCCUGGCAACUGCUCCUCUUACAGUCAGGGGAAUGGCUAUGUAAUCUCAUUCCCAGGGUGACUCUAGUCCCUAAAGGCCUCUUAGGACACUCAUCAGAGUUGCCCAGUGUUUUGGCCUGAGACAGCAGAUUAGCAGAGGAGUCUAAAUUCCAGCCAGACAGGCUGGCCAACUAGCAGAUAGAUACACAUGGACAAUAUGAUGGUAAGCUCUCCUUACUGCUGUGGUAUCCGAGCAUGAAAUGGAAUCCCAAGGAUCUCUCAGCUUACCGGGCAUAUGAUGAAACUGAACUCACUUUGAACUUGGUAAUGGGAGUCUGUUGAAAAGAUCCCAGGACUAGGAUCACUCCCUUCAUUUGGAGGACUUGGUUUAGGUUUAAAAGAAAAUGUUGAUUAAGCCAAUGCCCCUCUGUAGGUAAAGAAAAAAUGAUAACAUCAUAGAUUUAGAGUUGGAAGAGGAGGACUUAUGGGACAUCCAUUCUAAACCCUGUAGGUUACUACUGCAGAGCUGAGGCUCAGAGAGAUUGUGACUUGUCCAGGGUCACAUAAUAAAUAGCAAAAGUCCCUGUGUACCUAUGUAUCUAGUCCAGGGCUUUCCAUGACACCAGGCUGCCCAGAACUGGGUCCAAGGUGAUCUCACAGUAUGAUGUGAUGUGUUCUGUUCUCCAAACUCUCUCUCUCUCUCUCUCUCUCUCUCUCUCUCUCUCUCUCUCUCUCUCUCUCUCUCUCUCUCUCUCUCUCUCUCUCUCUCUCUCUCUCUCUCUCUCUCUCUCUCUCUCUCUCUCUCUCUCUCUCUCUCUCUCUCUCUCUCUCUCUCUCUCUCUCUCUCUUUCUCUCUCUCUCUCUCUCGAUCUCUGUGUGUGUGUGUUUUUCUGUCUCUCUCUCUGUCUGUUUCUGUUUGUCUGUCUGUCUCUCCCAUUUCCUCCCUCCCUCUCUUCUCUAAAGUGUCCAUCUAUCUAUAUCUAUAAACUAUCUUUCUGACUCUUUCUACAUAUAGGCAUACUGAUAAACAGAUUGGUAGUUGAUAGUUACCAACAUUUUAAUGAUCUAACAAAAACAAAUUAAGAGUCAGAAAAGGAGAGAGACCCGGAGACUGAGACAGAGAGAUAUAGAAAGAGAAUUUAGAGGACAGAGGGAGAGAAGAGAAGUUGGGGGGAGAGACUGAGGGAAGGGGGGUGGCUUUGGUGUGGUAGGCAGUAGUGUUUUACCUUUGUCCCUACCUCCAUGUCACAAACAAUGUCAACAAUGAGAAAUUUCGUAGGAGCCCUUUAGAGGAGAAGGCUUUAUAUUUUUUCCUUUCAAGCUGUCACAACCUGAAAGGAUGUAGGAAAAUGGGGGAGUGGAGAGGGGAGGAUGAACGGUGGUUUCUGUGUUCACUCCCUCCAGAGACAAACAACUUUCCUGAUAACGUUACCAUAGACCACAGAAAACUGACCUUAAACUGCCAAACUCAUUUCACUUAAGAUAUCAAUUGAAUUAUGGAGCCAGACACUUGAGGAGGGAAAGAACUAGAAUUCAAUCCCCCUGCAUCCUCCUAAAAACAAAAGAGUAUAUAUUUUUCAGGGAAAAAAUUGCUUUUUUCCUCCAACCUCCACUGUUGCUUCAGUAAGCUUUUAAACAUCAGCAGAUUCUACAGGGAUGAUAAACAAUUCAAAGAAGUGAACCAUUGAUCACAACCUUGCCCCUGACGCUUUUAAAUAUAUUAAGUCCAUACUUAGAGUAGAGGCAAAUGUGUAAAGGACAGAAGCACAACUGAGAGUGGUGAGGUGGGUACAGGACUGAAGAAUCCUGAGGUCAAAUAUCUCCCUUUUUCUCCCCCUUUUCUUUGUUUUUGUCUCUUUCUGCCUCCUCUGUCUCAAUUUCUCAAUGUCUGUCUCUACCUCUGUUUGUCUCCUUAAUUCAUCAACCAACCAGUCUGUUCAGAAUAUCAUAGUUCCUAAUAGAAGAGAUAAUAGGACUGUAUUAGUUUAACAGAAAGAAAGGAAGGAAGGAAGGAAGGAAGGAAGGAAGGAAGGAAGGAAGGAAGGAAGGAAGGAAGGAAGGAAGGAAGGAAGGAAGGAAAAGAAAGAAAGAAAGAGAGAGAGAGAGAAAGAGAGAGAGAAAGAAGGAAAGAAAGAGAGAAAGAAGGAAAGAAGGAAAGAAAGAGAGAGAAACAGAGAAAGAAAGAAAGAAAGAAAGAAAGAAAGAAAGAAAGAAAGAAAGAAAGAAAGAAAGAAAGAAAGAAAGAAAGA